GCACAAGCGGUGGAUGAUGUGGUUUAAUUCGAUGCAACGCGAAAACCUUACCCACCUUGACAUGUACGGAACCUUUAGAGAUAGAGGGGUGCUCGAAAGAGAGCCGUAACACAGGUGCUGCAUGGCUGUCGUCAGCUCGUGUCGUGAGAUGUUGGGUUAAGUCCCGCAACGAGCGCAACCCUUGUCAUUAGUUGCUACAUUCAGUUGGGCACUCUAAUGAGACUGCCGGUGACAAGCCGGAGGAAGGUGGGGAUGACGUCAAGUCCUCAUGGCCCUUAUAGGUGGGGCUACACACGUCAUACAAUGGCUGGUACAAAGGGUUGCCAACCCGCGAGGGGGAGCCAAUCCCAUAAAGCCAGUCGUAGUCCGGAUCGUAGUCUGCAACUCGACUACGUGAAGUCGGAAUCGCUAGUAAUCGUGGAUCAGAAUGUCACGGUGAAUACGUUCCCGGGUCUU
Molecule: ribosomal RNA, 456 nt
Filed under: uncultured Rhodoferax sp.
Lineage: Bacteria; Pseudomonadati; Pseudomonadota; Betaproteobacteria; Burkholderiales; Comamonadaceae
Description: bacterial SSU rRNA
Rfam family: Bacterial small subunit ribosomal RNA
Source: RNAcentral